Mirounga angustirostris (Northern elephant seal) is the source of this 107-nucleotide small nuclear RNA. NCBI's taxonomy places the organism in Eukaryota, Metazoa, Chordata, Mammalia, Carnivora, Phocidae. The record is from RefSeq and is a predicted model, not a curated record.
GUGAUCAUUUUGGCAGCACAUAUACUAAAGUUGGAACGAUACAGAGAAGAUUAGCAUGGCCCCUGCACAGGGAUGACGUACACAUUCAUGAAGCAGUCCAUUAAAAA